GAACCUGAAACCCUGUACGUACAAGCAGUAGGAGCGAGGGCAACCUUGUGACUGCGUACCUUUUGUAUAAUGGGUCAGCGACUUAUAUUUUGUAGCGAGGUUAACUGAAUAAGGGAGCCGAAGGGAAACCGAGUCUUAACUGGGCGUUGAGUUGCAAGGUAUAGACCCGAAACCCGGUGAUCUAGCCAUGGGCAGGUUGAAGGUUGGGUAACACUAACUGGAGGACCGAACCGACUAAUGUUGAAAAAUUAGCGGAUGACUUGUGGCUGGGGGUGAAAGGCCAAUCAAACCGGGAGAUAGCUGGUUCUCCCCGAAAUCUAUUUAGGUAGAGCCUUGAGCGGACACCUUCGGGGGUAGAGCACUGUUUCGGC
Molecule: ribosomal RNA, 371 nt
Filed under: Pasteurella multocida
Lineage: Bacteria; Pseudomonadati; Pseudomonadota; Gammaproteobacteria; Pasteurellales; Pasteurellaceae
Description: partial 23S ribosomal RNA
Rfam family: Bacterial large subunit ribosomal RNA
Source: RNAcentral